This 465-nucleotide ribosomal RNA is filed under the name Vreelandella stevensii. RNAcentral describes it as "partial 16S ribosomal RNA". It matches the Rfam family "Bacterial small subunit ribosomal RNA", at positions 338 to 795 of the family's 1533-position model. The record is from RNAcentral. Lineage: Bacteria; Pseudomonadati; Pseudomonadota; Gammaproteobacteria; Oceanospirillales; Halomonadaceae.
CCUACGGGGGGCAGCAGUGGGGAAUAUUGGACAAUGGGGGCAACCCUGAUCCAGCCAUGCCGCGUGUGUGAAGAAGGCCCUCGGGUUGUAAAGCACUUUCAGUGAGGAAGAACGCCUGGUGGUUAAUACCCAUCAGGAAAGACAUCACUCACAGAAGAAGCACCGGCUAACUCCGUGCCAGCAGCCGCGGUAAUACGGAGGGUGCGAGCGUUAAUCGGAAUUACUGGGCGUAAAGCGCGCGUAGGUGGCUUGAUAAGCCGGUUGUGAAAGCCCCGGGCUCAACCUGGGAACGGCAUCCGGAACUGUCAAGCUAGAGUGCAGGAGAGGAAGGUGGAAUUCCCGGUGUAGCGGUGAAAUGCGUAGAGAUCGGGAGGAAUACCAGUGGCGAAGGCGGCCUUCUGGACUGACACUGACACUGAGGUGCGAAAGCGUGGGUAGCAAACAGGAUUAGAUACCCUAGUAGUC